UACGUAGGGUGCGAGCGUUAAUCGGAAUUACUGGGCGUAAAGCGUGCGCAGGCGGUUUUGUAAGCCAGAUGUGAAAGCCCCGGGCUCAACCUGGGAAUGGCAUUGGAAACUGGCUUGCUAGAGUGUGGCAGAGGGGGGUGGAAUUCCGCGUGUAGCAGUGAAAUGCGUAGAGAUGCGGAGGAACACCGAUGGCGAAGGCAGCCCCCUGGGCCAACACUGACGCUCAGGCACGAAAGCGUGGGGAGCAAACAGG
RNAcentral lists this ribosomal RNA (253 nucleotides) under uncultured bacterium. RNAcentral describes it as "partial 16S ribosomal RNA". It matches the Rfam family "Bacterial small subunit ribosomal RNA", at positions 524 to 776 of the family's 1533-position model. The record is from RNAcentral.